UGGGGAAUAUUGCACAAUGGGCGCAAGCCUGAUGCAGCCAUGCCGCGUGUGUGAAGAAGGCCUUCGGGUUGUAAAGCACUUUCAGCGGGGAGGAAGGCGGUGAGGUUAAUAACCUCAUCGAUUGACGUUACCCGCAGAAGAAGCACCGGCUAACUCCGUGCCAGCAGCCGCGGUAAUACGGAGGGUGCAAGCGUUAAUCGGAAUUACUGGGCGUAAAGCGCACGCAGGCGGUCUGUCAAGUCGGAUGUGAAAUCCCCGGGCUCAACCUGGGAACUGCAUUCGAAACUGGCAGGCUAGAGUAUUGUAGAGGGGGGUAGAAUUCCAGGUGUAGCGGUGAAAUGCGUAGAGAUCUGGAGGAAUACCGGUGGCGAAGGCGGCCCCCUGGACGAAGACUGACGCUCAGGUGCGAAAGCGUGGGGAGCAAACAGG
RNAcentral lists this ribosomal RNA (429 nucleotides) under Chloroflexota bacterium. RNAcentral describes it as "Chloroflexi bacterium partial 16S ribosomal RNA". It matches the Rfam family "Bacterial small subunit ribosomal RNA", at positions 355 to 776 of the family's 1533-position model. Lineage: Bacteria; Bacillati; Chloroflexota. The record is from RNAcentral.